UUUUACGGAAAUGGUUAAGUCGCUUCAACAACCGUGAAAAGCCUGUGUGUUUAGAACUCAUAAGAAAGCUUAAAAUGGUUCCUUAACUCAUGGACAGCAGCAGACACUUUGAAACAACCAGAAGCAAAAAGUGCAUCGGCCGACAAAAGCAUCACAUAUUCAAUUGUGAAACCUCUCGCAAACUUCGUAAUGGACGAGGGCAAGCCGGAAUAUCCGCUCAUCGAGGACAAAUACAACAAAGGGGGCUGACCCAUGCCUAACGGUAUCAGAACUCGGUCAAAGGAAAUGUUAACCGCACAUGACGCCUGCUACUGGCCUGGGUUUUUUUUUGUUUGCGAACAGUACGACGAGGCGCUCCGAAAUUUCAUCCUCCCCCAGCAAGACACUUUUGGAAAAGACACACCACGUCCCUCGCAGAAUGCGGUUGUUAAGUCGUACGACAUCAAAGUUCUGGGGAAGUGAACACCAUCACCUUCCAUGAUCAAGCAAACUGAACAGGAAAACUGAACGGAAAACGGAACUGAAAAGUUGCAUCGAGAGGCCGGCGGAACUCGGGAUUUUAUACCUACCGGGUCAGAACAACCAGAAU
Long non-coding RNA from Uranotaenia lowii, 589 nucleotides. RefSeq lists it as uncharacterized. The record is from RefSeq and is a predicted model, not a curated record. NCBI's taxonomy places the organism in Eukaryota, Metazoa, Arthropoda, Insecta, Diptera, Culicidae. The transcript has 3 exons.